AGCAGCCGCGGUAAUUCCAGCUCCAAUAGCGUAUAUUAAAGUUGUUGCAGUUAAAAAGCUCGUAGUUGAAUUUCGGGGUCAGUAGGUUGGUCGUGCCACUGGUAUGCACUGGUCUCACUGAUUCCUCCUUCCUGAUGAACCGUAAUGCCAUUAAUUUGGUGUUGCGGGGAAUCUGGACUGUUACUUUGAAAAAAUUAGAGUGUUUAAAGCAGGCUAACGCUUGAAUACAUUAGCAUGGAAUAAUGAAAUAGGACGGUCGAUCCUAUUUUGUUGGUUUCUAGGAUUGACGUAAUGAUUAAUAGGGAUAGUUGGGGGCAUUAGUAUUCAAUUGUCAGAGGUGGAAUUCUUGGAUUUAUUGAAGACUAACUACUGCGAAAGCAUUUGCCAAGGAUGUUUUCAUUAAUCAAGAACGAAAGUUAGGGGAUCGAAGACGAUCAGAUACCGUCGUAGUCUUAACCAUAAACUAUGCCGACUAGGGAUCGGAUGAUGUUAAUUUUUUAAUGACUCAUUCGGCGCCUUA
RNAcentral lists this ribosomal RNA (520 nucleotides) under uncultured Glomus. Its description in RNAcentral is "SSU rRNA". It matches the Rfam family "Eukaryotic small subunit ribosomal RNA", at positions 569 to 1090 of the family's 1831-position model. Lineage: Eukaryota; Fungi; Glomeromycota; Glomeromycetes; Glomerales; Glomeraceae. The record is from RNAcentral.